Triplophysa rosa is the source of this 470-nucleotide long non-coding RNA. RefSeq lists it as uncharacterized. Lineage: Eukaryota; Metazoa; Chordata; Actinopteri; Cypriniformes; Nemacheilidae. The record is from RefSeq and is a predicted model, not a curated record. The transcript is spliced from 3 exons.
UGAAGGAUUUUGUCAACAAGUUUUUUAGUGGUUUAAUUGUGUUUUCCCCAUACAUUAGUCUCAACAUCCAUGUUGUUGUCUACAAUUACUCCAGUCUUUCUAAUCUAACUGAUGAUCCCUCUGCAGCUCAAUGACAGCAUUCUCAGCUCGCUGGGAAUCAAACACGCGGUGUCCAGUGCUUACAUCCCCAGACCAAUGGCCAGGACGAAAGAACAAAUCAAAACAUCAAACGUACCCCCAGGAAGUAUGUAAAUGACAACCACAAUGAUUGGGACCUCCACCUUCCUGCUGUGGUGUAUGGAAUCAACACUGCAAACCAGACACCCACGUCUGGUGGUCAUGAAUGCCUGUCCCAUGAGAGAUGACUUUGACAUUGCUGACCCAGAAGAUGACACUGACACCUGUAAAGUUUGAUGUUAUUUCAUUCUUCAAUUAUUUAAUUGGGGUAACAAUUUGUGCCACAUAUUAAC